GAUGAACGCUGGCGGCGUGCCUAAUACAUGCAAGUCGAGCGAACAGACGAGGAGCUUGCUCCUUCGACGUUAGCGGCGGACGGGUGAGUAACACGUAGGUAACCUACCUAUAAGACUGGGAUAACUUCGGGAAACCGGAGCUAAUACCGGAUAAUAUUUCGAACCGCAUGGUUCGAUAGUGAAAGAUGGCUUUGCUAUCACUUAUAGAUGGACCUGCGCCGUAUUAGCUAGUUGGUAAGGUAACGGCUUACCAAGGAAACGAUCCGUAGCCGACCUGAGAGGAGGAGCAGCCAACCCGGAACGGAGACACGGUCCAGACUCCCACGGGAGGGAGGAGGGGGGAAUAUUUGCGCAAGGGGGGAAACCCGGACCAACCACCGCGCGGGGGGGAAGAAGGGUUUCGGGUUGUAAAGACUUUUUUUUGGGGAAAAAAAAAAGCAGGAAAAUACCCCGCUGUUCUGAAGGGUCCCAAAGAAGAAGCCCCCGCUAACUUCGUG
This 497-nucleotide ribosomal RNA is filed under the name uncultured bacterium. RNAcentral describes it as "partial 16S ribosomal RNA". It matches the Rfam family "Bacterial small subunit ribosomal RNA", at positions 28 to 507 of the family's 1533-position model. The record is from RNAcentral.